GAUGAACGCUGGCGGCGUGCCUAAUACAUGCAAGUCGAGCGAACGGAUGAGAAGCUUGCUUCUCUGAUGUUAGCGGCGGACGGGUGAGUAACACGUGGAUAACCUACCUAUAAGACUGGGAUAACUUCGGGAAACCGGAGCUAAUACCGGAUAAUAUUUUGAACCGCAUGGUUCAAAAGUGAAAGACGGUCUUGCUGUCACUUAUAGAUGGAUCCGCGCUGCAUUAGCUAGUUGGUAAGGUAACGGCUUACCAAGGCAACGAUGCAUAGCCGACCUGAGAGGGUGAUCGGCCACACUGGAACUGAGACACGGUCCAGACUCCUACGGGAGGCAGCAGUAGGGAAUCUUCCGCAAUGGGCGAAAGCCUGACGGAGCAACGCCGCGUGAGUGAUGAAGGUCUUCGGAUCGUAAAACUCUGUUAUUAGGGAAGAACAUAUGUGUAAGUAACUGUGCACAUCUUGACGGUACCUAAUCAGAAAGCCACGGCUAACUACGUGCCAGCAGCCGCGGUAAUACGUAGGUGGCAAGCGUUAUCCGGAAUUAUUGGGCGUAAAGCGCGCGUAGGCGGUUUUUUAAGUCUGAUGUGAAAGCCCACGGCUCAACCGUGGAGGGUCAUUGGAAACUGGAAAACUUGAGUGCAGAAGAGGAAAGUGGAAUUCCAUGUGUAGCGGUGAAAUGCGCAGAGAUAUGGAGGAACACCAGUGGCGAAGGCGACUUUCUGGUCUGUAACUGACGCUGAUGUGCGAAAGCGUGGGGAUCAAACAGGAUUAGAUACCCUGGUAGUCCACGCCGUAAACGAUGAGUGCUAAGUGUUAGGGGGUUUCCGCCCCUUAGUGCUGCAGCUAACGCAUUAAGCACUCCGCCUGGGGAGUACGACCGCAAGUUUG
RNAcentral lists this ribosomal RNA (887 nucleotides) under uncultured Staphylococcus sp. RNAcentral's name for it is "bacterial SSU rRNA". It matches the Rfam family "Bacterial small subunit ribosomal RNA", at positions 28 to 896 of the family's 1533-position model. Lineage: Bacteria; Bacillati; Bacillota; Bacilli; Caryophanales; Staphylococcaceae. The record is from RNAcentral.